AUUGAACGCUGGCGGCAGGCCGAAAACAUGAAAGUCGAACGAGUGGCGGACGGGUGAGUAAUGUCUGGGAAACUGCCUGAUGGAGGGGGAUAACUACUGGAAACGGUAGCUAAUACCGCAUACCAUCAGAUGUGCCCAGAGGGGAUUAGCUUGUUGGUGGGGUAAGGGCUCACCAAGCAGACAGUCCCUAGCUGGUCGUAGAGGAUGACCAGCCACACUGGAACUGAGACACGGUCCAGACUCCUACGGGAGGCAGCAGUGGGGAAUAUUGCACAAUGGGCGCAAGCCUGAUGCAGCCAUGCCGCGUGUAUGAAGAAGGCCUUCGGGUUGUAAAGUACUUUCAGCGGGGAGGCGUUACCCGCAGAAGAAGCACCGGCUAACUCCGUGCCAGCAGCCGCGGUAAUUC
This 406-nucleotide ribosomal RNA is filed under the name uncultured bacterium. RNAcentral describes it as "partial 16S ribosomal RNA". It matches the Rfam family "Bacterial small subunit ribosomal RNA", at positions 30 to 526 of the family's 1533-position model. The record is from RNAcentral.